This is a small nuclear RNA of Heterocephalus glaber (naked mole-rat), 74 nucleotides long. Its record names the gene U2. It matches the Rfam family "U2 spliceosomal RNA". From Rfam's summary of the family: U2 is a small nuclear RNA (snRNA) component of the spliceosome (involved in pre-mRNA splicing). The record is from Ensembl. Lineage: Eukaryota; Metazoa; Chordata; Mammalia; Rodentia; Bathyergidae.
AUCGCUUCUCGGCCUUUUGGCUAAGAUCAAGUGUAGUACAGUCUAUACUUUCUUUGAAAUCAUGGAGAACUAUU